Molecule: long non-coding RNA, 111 nt
Filed under: Numida meleagris (helmeted guineafowl)
Lineage: Eukaryota; Metazoa; Chordata; Aves; Galliformes; Numididae
Description: lncRNA (ENSNMEG00000008744.1)
Source: RNAcentral
AUACUCAAAUUACCCACUGAGUAGUGGAAGAACUGUUUCAGAUGCCUGCCAUCAGACUUUAUUACAGGGGCCUGAGAGUUUCUCCCCUGGGAGCUGAGGUCCAACAGUAAU